CCUACGGGCGGCUGCAGUGGGGAAUAUUGGACAAUGGGGGGAACCCUGAUCCAGCCAUGCCGCGUGUGUGAAGAAGGCCCUCGGGUUGUAAAGCACUUUCAGUGAGGAAGAACGCCUGGUGGUUAAUACCCAUCAGGAAAGACAUCACUCACAGAAGAAGCACCGGCUAACUCCGUGCCAGCAGCCGCGGUAAUACGGAGGGUGCGAGCGUUAAUCGGAAUUACUGGGCGUAAAGCGCGCGUAGGUGGCUUGAUAAGCCGGUUGUGAAAGCCCCGGGCUCAACCUGGGAACGGCAUCCGGAACUGUUAAGCUAGAGUGCAGGAGAGGAAGGUAGAAUUCCCGGUGUAGCGGUGAAAUGCGUAGAGAUCGGGAGGAAUACCAGUGGCGAAGGCGGCCUUCUGGACUGACACUGACACUGAGGUGCGAAAGCGUGGGUAGCAAACAGGAUUAGAUACCCUGGUAGUC
Molecule: ribosomal RNA, 465 nt
Filed under: Vreelandella stevensii
Lineage: Bacteria; Pseudomonadati; Pseudomonadota; Gammaproteobacteria; Oceanospirillales; Halomonadaceae
Description: partial 16S ribosomal RNA
Rfam family: Bacterial small subunit ribosomal RNA
Source: RNAcentral